This 23-nucleotide non-coding RNA is filed under the name Mus musculus (house mouse). Lineage: Eukaryota; Metazoa; Chordata; Mammalia; Rodentia; Muridae. The record is from RNAcentral.
UGGUGACCGUUACCAACUCUUGA